AUUGAACGCUGGCGGCAGGCCUAACACAUGCAAGUCGAGCGGAUGAAGGGAGCUUGCUCCUGGAUUCAGCGGCGGACGGGUGAGUAAUGCCUAGGAAUCUGCCUGGUAGUGGGGGAUAACGUCCGGAAACGGGCGCUAAUACCGCAUACGUCCUGAGGGAGAAAGUGGGGGAUCUUCGGACCUCACGCUAUCAGAUGAGCCUAGGUCGGAUUAGCUAGUUGGUGGGGUAAAGGCCUACAAAGGCGACGAUCCGUAACUGGUCUGAGAGGAUGAUCAGUCACACUGGAACUGAGGCACGGUCCAGACUCCUACGGGAGGCAGCAGUGGGGAAUAUUGGACAAUGGGCGAAAGCCUGAUCCAGCCAUGCCGCGUGUGUGAAGAAGGUCUUCGGAUUGUAAAGCACUUUAAGUUGGGAGGAAGGGCAGUAAGUUAAUACCUUGCUGUUUUGACGUUACCAACAGAAUAAGCACCGGCUAACUUCGUG
This 484-nucleotide ribosomal RNA is filed under the name uncultured bacterium. Its description in RNAcentral is "partial 16S ribosomal RNA". It matches the Rfam family "Bacterial small subunit ribosomal RNA", at positions 30 to 507 of the family's 1533-position model. The record is from RNAcentral.